AUUGAACGCUGGCGGCAGGCCUAACACAUGCAAGUCGAGCGAGCGGCGGACGGGUGAGUAAUGUAUGGGGAACUGCCUGAUAGAGGGGGAUAACUACUGGAAACGGUGGCUAAUACCGCAUACUAUCGGAUGAACCCAUAUGGGAUUGGCUAGUAGGUGGGGUAAAGGCUCACGUAGGCGACGAUCUCUAGCUGGUCUGAGAGGAUGACCAGCCACACGGGGAGUGAGACACGGCCCAGACGCCCAGGGGAGGAACAAGUGGGGAAUAUUGCACAAUGGGCGAAAGCCUGAUGCAGCCAUGCCGAGUGUAUGAAGAAGGCCUUAGGGUUGUAAAGUACUUUCAGCGGGGAGGCGUUACCAGCAGAAGAAGCACCGGCUAACUCCGUGCCAGCAGCCGCGGUAAUUC
Molecule: ribosomal RNA, 406 nt
Filed under: uncultured bacterium
Lineage: Bacteria
Description: partial 16S ribosomal RNA
Rfam family: Bacterial small subunit ribosomal RNA
Source: RNAcentral